GUAUUUUUUUUAUCAGCUUCACAAGGACUUCCCUGAGUCGCCGUGCAGCGCGUUCCCAUCAGCAACCUCGUGGUCGGCGUCGACUUGGUCCCUAUCGCUCCCUUCCUCUAACGCCAUGAGAAACAUGCACCAUAACUAUGCCAAUGCUGCAUAGUUGUUCACAAGCUUGGCAAGAUGGAUGAGUGGGUUAUUAGAUUGUAUGCGUACUAUGGUGCAGUGUGCAACAUGAGCAUGACAGCAUGGCGCUAGAAUGAGGGUGUCGACCACCAACAUGGAAGAAGAUAAGAACUUUAUCUUUUCUCAAAUGAUUUGUUUAAUAUUAUCACUGUUUAUUUAAUAUUUUAUCAUUUAUCUUUAAUCAUUCCUCACCACUACAUUCAUUAUUUCAGUUACAUUCAUUAUUUAAGUGUUAGAGUGAAACUUCAAUCAUUCAUGACAGGUAUAAAUACAAAAUAUAAUAUAGUCCCACUAUCCCACUAUUUGGAAAAAGUCUUCCUUUACAGCUCGUUGUUUAAUAUUAUGUUGACCAAAAACAUAUCACAUCACUUACCAUUUUAUUAUUUUAAUCCAUUAGACACAGGGUUGGGUGAUCACAUUCACCAAAAAACCCUCUUUAAUCAGUACACCCACUACACCAUUUACAUUAUUUAAUUGUUUUAUCACAUUACAAUUACUAUGCCGAUGCUGCUAACAUCAUGAUUAUUCCACAAUAUGGUCCAUACUUGUUAUUAUAAUGCAACUUUAUCAUGAUUAUUCCCCAAGUAGAAAGUUUGACCACAUCACAUAUUUUCACUUUUCACUAUUAGGGCACGGUCCCUAUAGUCAUCAUGUGUAAGACUAUUAUACUCAGAUUGUUUUCCAUUAUUUUCACUAGUGACAUGUAUUUAGCCCAAGUACUUGUGCAAUAUUUAUUCAUUGCCUAGUGAUAUGUGAUUGCCUUUAACUAUGUCACUUAUACAACAUGUGAUUUACCACACAACUGAAUAAAUUAUUUACUUGUAGUAGGCACAUAGUACAAUAUUUUGCCUUGACAAACUUUGUCAAUUUGAUUUAUUUAUUAUGCAUUCAUACUUAUACAAUCAUUUAUUGUCAGGAAUUAUUGAGCAACUAGCUCUAUUGAUCAACAUUGUUACUGAUUAAAGAAGCCUACUAACACUAUUGAUCAGCCUAUGGAUCACUGAGCCACAUGCUUAUGGUGACAAAGAUUUAGUCUGAACGGUAAUCUCUUGUCUGACCGGACACCCACUUGCUUGGACACUCGCUCAUUUGGACACCUAUGUGCUUGGACACCCUUGAGCUCGAACCCCGACUCACGAACCCAACUUGUGGAAUGGCCCCAACUCAAAGACCCCACAAGCGGACCCAAGUCAUGUCAAGAGUUAACUCAUAAUGAGCGCACGCUGACGUCGAGUGCAUACUCACAAUGAAGAACGCCACAAGUCGAGCUGUCUCGCAACGAGCACCGCCU
Molecule: long non-coding RNA, 1468 nt
Filed under: Malus domestica (apple)
Lineage: Eukaryota; Viridiplantae; Streptophyta; Magnoliopsida; Rosales; Rosaceae
Description: long non-coding RNA (MDOM_LNC011188)
Source: RNAcentral